AGAACAUGAGACAUAGUAUCUCUUUGAGGGUGUUGACAGCAAUGACAUCUAGAAGGAAGACUAAUUUUCAUUCUUUGCACCACCUCAUUAAUAGGUAUUAUGAACUUCCAUGCCCUUCAUAGUGUGAAGGUCAUCUGAAAGGGCAAUUUGUUGAUCCACAUAUUCUUGAAUAUCUCCUGUUUCUCAUCCUUUUGUUUGAUAUAUUGCCA
This 209-nucleotide unclassified non-coding RNA is filed under the name Hevea brasiliensis (rubber tree). The record is from RNAcentral. Lineage: Eukaryota; Viridiplantae; Streptophyta; Magnoliopsida; Malpighiales; Euphorbiaceae.